UCACUAUUCCAGUUUCACACAGAUAUCCGUGUGAAAUCUUAUCAAUAGCUUUCUGCAAAAUUCCAACAGGGUCGUCUAAGUCAUUCUAAUCUCUUCAUUCAAGUUUUUCUGGUCUCUCAAGUCAGAAGUCAGAACCACCCACCUCUCUCUCUCUCUCUCUCUCUCUCCAGAUCUAUCUAUAAAGCACUAAGCUUUACAUCUGAUUUUUGGUUAUUUCUCUCUACCAUUGUCUUUGUUAUUCUAUACCGAAACUUGUGGAUCUGAGGUGAGAUUUUGCCCUGACGUGAAGAAUCUCAAGACCGCCUUCUCUUCCUUGGCAAGAUUGGGUAUUUUUUAUGCAUAGGAAAUUUGAAAGUCAAACAGCAUUGCACAGCGGGUAAAAUUCAAGAUGCCAAAUCUGUAAAUCCUCUGCAGGUAAGGUUCCAGAGGAGUCUGAAGCUCAAGCCCAUGGCUUUGAUCAAGAAGUUGCGCAAGUUUUGUUGAGUUUCCUAUUUCAUAGAACCUGUUGAGACAAUUUGAAAGACUGAAGAUCCGGAAUCACCAUGAAGGACAAUAGAGGAAAUGGAUCCAUUGAUGUCAUUGAUUUAUUAAUGAAAUUUGUUCAACAACAAUUGAUGUCAUUGAUUUAUUCAUACUUGUGCUUGCGUAUAGGAAAAAGCUGCAAUUAAUGUCAGAAAUAGGAAACAAAAGAAGAUGAGCCAUACUACUGGAACAAUGACUUAUGCAGCAAAAAUUUAUAAAUGGCAACUAGAAAACAAAAAGGAUGCACCGCCUAACCGUAAAGAGAGAUUCAAGAUAACCCACCUAAAGAAGGGGGAUCUAAAACAAAGUACAUUGAUGAAGCAUCAACACAAGCUGUGAAAACAAAGGGAUUUCAAAAGAGGUGGAGGAACUAAGGGCUGCUGUGGAGGAACAAAAAAGUGUGUAUGCAAGAGCAUUGAUGGAGGUUGAAAGAUUGAGAAUUGAAUUUGCAAGGGAAAUGAAUGAAUUUGCUGAGAGAGAAAAACAACGUGAGGCAGAGUUGGAUAAGAUAAAAGUUGAUCAACUACAGAUGAUGGAGAACAUGAAAAAAAUGCAAGACUUGAUGGAAAUGCCAAGGACAUGAUUUGCUCAGCCAUGUUUGCUACUCUUUAACUUCAUCAUGAUGUUUGUUGCUCUUAACUUAAUCAUGUUUUUGUUGUUUUGGUCCUGGUUUAAUGACUUCUAGAUUAUGUAUGUUUUUGUCUAAAAAUUUCUAGGAGUUAUUAAUCUAGUGCGGCAGUUGCCAUUGUAUAUAUUGAAGAAUAUAAUUAAGCUUUUGAA
This is a long non-coding RNA of Rosa chinensis, 1302 nucleotides long. RefSeq lists it as uncharacterized. The record is from RefSeq and is a predicted model, not a curated record. NCBI's taxonomy places the organism in Eukaryota, Viridiplantae, Streptophyta, Magnoliopsida, Rosales, Rosaceae. The transcript is spliced from 6 exons.